Molecule: ribosomal RNA, 253 nt
Filed under: uncultured bacterium
Lineage: Bacteria
Description: partial 16S ribosomal RNA
Rfam family: Bacterial small subunit ribosomal RNA
Source: RNAcentral
UACGUAGGGGGCAAGCGUUGUCCGGAAUCAUUGGGCGUAAAGAGCGUGUAGGCGGCUUGGUAAGUCCGCUGUGAAAGUCCAGGGCUCAACCCUGGAAAGCCGGUGGAAACUGUCAAGCUUGAGUCCGGAAGAGGCGAGUGGAAUUCCUGGUGUAGCGGUGAAAUGCGCAGAUAUCAGGAGGAACACCGAUGGCGAAGGCAGGUCUCUGGGACGGUACUGACGCUGAGGCGCGAAAGCGUGGGGAGCAAACAGG